AUCGUGAGGUGGAUGACGGAGGUAGUCGGGAUUGAAAGAUAUAUCCUGCCGCAAAGUUCCGAGCUGAGGAACACGAACGAUAUCAGGCAUGAAAUGUGAGGAAGAAGUUGCCGAACAAACUAAAGUCCCAAAACUGGACGGACACAUGAGUGUAAAUAUCGCAGCUACAUGGAAUGAAAGCUAU
RNAcentral lists this non-coding RNA (184 nucleotides) under uncultured Clostridium sp. The record is from RNAcentral. Lineage: Bacteria; Bacillati; Bacillota; Clostridia; Eubacteriales; Clostridiaceae.